AUGGAUCACAAAUUCCUGGAGGGUUUUAAACCCGUAAAUAUCGAAUCGUAUGAUGGUACAACAGAUCCUGCUGUAUGGAUUGAGGAUUUUCUCCUCCACAUCCACAUGGCCCACGGUGAUGAUCUGCAUGCCAUCAAGUACCUCCCACUAAAACUCAAAGGACCAACUCGGCAUUGGCUGAAUAGCUUGCCAGCAGACUCUGUCGGCAGUUCGGAGGAUCUGGAAGAUGCAUUCCUUGACAACUUCCAGGGCACUUAUAUGCGACCACCGGAUGCUGAUGACUUGAGCCAUAUAACUCAGCAGCCAGGGGAAUCGGCCAGGCAAUUCUGGACAUGGUUCCUAACUAAGAAAAACCAAAUUGUCAACUGUCCGGAUGCAGAGGCCUUAGCGGCAUUCAAGCAUAACAUCCGUGACGAGUGGCUCGCCCGGCACCUCGGCCAGGAGAAGCCGAAGUCUAUGGCAGCCUUCACGACACUCAUGACCCGCUUUUGCACGGGCGAGGAUAGCUGGCUGGCUCGCAGCAACAACACAUCAAGGAAUCCGGGCACUUCGGAUACCAAAGAUGCCAACAGCAGACCACGUCGUAAUAGACAAAAGCGCCGCAACAACGGCGAUAACACCGAUGAUACGACAGUCAAUGCCGGAUUCAGAGGCUCUAGAUCCGGUCAGUGA
RNAcentral lists this ribosomal RNA (672 nucleotides) under Triticum aestivum (bread wheat). Its description in RNAcentral is "partial small subunit ribosomal RNA". The record is from RNAcentral. Lineage: Eukaryota; Viridiplantae; Streptophyta; Magnoliopsida; Poales; Poaceae.